AGAGGCAUAGAUAUAGUAAAAAAAAGUAGAUAAUGCGCGGCCUUUGUUGUUAGUGAAGCCACAAAACUCGGCUCCUUCAAGUAAAUACACGCGCUCACGCACACAUAUGCAUCAAACUACGCUCAUUUUCGUUAGUAUGUCACGAGGCUUCAUACAGUAACUUUGCUUAUAAAAUGCCGUCUUGUGUGAUUAAAUGGUGCAAAAACAAUACCAAAAUAAACAAAAAAUCUGAAGGAAUAUCGUUUCACACGUUUCCAACGAAUAUUUUAAUAAGAGGUGAAUGGGUAGCGGCUGUAAGACUGAGAAAAUGACCACAAUUAUGCUGGCCAUGCGCAUAAAGUGAAUUUAAUACGAUUAGUGAUUGAAAAAUAUUUGAACAUAAGACUACAUCAUAUUAGUAAAAUGCAAACAAUGACGAUGACUCUGAGUUCUAAGCGACA
Molecule: unclassified non-coding RNA, 440 nt
Filed under: Melitaea cinxia (Glanville fritillary)
Lineage: Eukaryota; Metazoa; Arthropoda; Insecta; Lepidoptera; Nymphalidae
Description: misc RNA ENSMCXG00005005873.1
Source: RNAcentral